AUCGCUUCUCGGCCUUUUGGCUAAGAUCAAGUGUAGUACCUGACCUGCAUACAUAUUUGUCAGGGGGCAAAUGGUAUUCCCAUCUCUUGAAGAAUUUUUCCACAGUUUGCUGUGAUCCACACAGUCAAAGGCUU
This 134-nucleotide small nuclear RNA is filed under the name Cervus hanglu yarkandensis (Yarkand deer). RNAcentral describes it as "U2 spliceosomal RNA (ENSCHYG00000024153.1)". It matches the Rfam family "U2 spliceosomal RNA". From Rfam's summary of the family: U2 is a small nuclear RNA (snRNA) component of the spliceosome (involved in pre-mRNA splicing). Complementary binding between U2 snRNA (in an area lying towards the 5' end but 3' to hairpin I) and the branchpoint sequence (BPS) of the intron results the bulging out of an unpaired adenosine, on the BPS, which initiates a nucleophilic attack at the intronic 5' splice site, thus starting the first of two transesterification reactions that mediate splicing. The record is from RNAcentral. Lineage: Eukaryota; Metazoa; Chordata; Mammalia; Artiodactyla; Cervidae.